CCUAAUACAUGCAAGUCGAGCGAUGAGGCUCCUUCGGGAGUACAUCAGCGGCGAACGGGUGAGUAACACGUAGGUGACUUGCCCCGAAGAUGGGGAUACCUCGUGGAGACGGGGGCUAAUACCCAAUGUGCUCGGUGAUUCGGUUGAUCGAGUAAAGCUCCGGCGCUUCGGGAGAGGCCUGCGGCCCAUCAGCUAGUUGGUAGGGUAACGGCCUACCAAGGCAGAGACGGGUAGGGGGCGUGAGAGCGCGGACCCCCACACUGGCACUGCGACACGGGCCAGACUCCUACGGGAGGCAGCAGUAAGGAAUAUUGCGCAAUGGACGAAAGUCAGACGCAGCGACGCCGCGUGGGCGAUGAAGGCCUUCGGGUUGUAAAGCCCUUUUAUGGGGGAAGAGAAAAAGGACGGUACCCCAUGAAUAAGUCCCGGCUAACUACGUGCCAGCAGCCGCGGUAAAACGUAGGGGACAAGCGUUAUCCGGAUUCACUGGGCGUAAAGAGCGUUGAGGCGGUUCCGUAAGUUGGGCGUGAAAGCUCCGGGCUUAACCCGGAGAUGUCGUUCAAUACUGCGGGGCUUGAGGACAGCAGAGGAAGGUGGAAUUCCCGGUGUAGUGGUGAAAUGCGUAGAUAUCGGGAGGAACACCCGUGGCGAAGGCGGCCUUCUGGGCUGUUCCUGACGCUGAAGGCGAAAGCUAGGGGAGCGAACGGGAUUAGAUACCCCGGUAGUCCUAGCUGUAAACGAUGGAUGCUGGGUGUGGGGGGUGUAAAUUCCCUCUGUGCCGAAGCAAACGCGUUAAGCAUCCCGCCUGGGGACUACGGCCGCAAGGCUAAAACUCAAACGAAUUGACGGGGGCCCGCACAAGCAGCGGAGCGUGUGGUUUAAUUCGAUGCUACACGAAGAACCUUACCUGGGUUUGACAUGCACGUGGUAGGGAACCGAAAGGGGACCGACCUUCGGGAGCGUGCACAGGUGCUGCAUGGCUGUCGUCAGCUCGUGCCGUGAGGUGUCGGGUUAAGUCCCGUAACGAGCGCAACCAUUGCCCUUAGUUACAAGUGUCUAAGGGGACUGCCCGGGACAACUGGGAGCAAGGUGGGGAUGACGUCAAGUCAGCAUG
This 1114-nucleotide ribosomal RNA is filed under the name uncultured organism. Its description in RNAcentral is "bacterial SSU rRNA". It matches the Rfam family "Bacterial small subunit ribosomal RNA", at positions 47 to 1197 of the family's 1533-position model. The record is from RNAcentral.